This 1035-nucleotide long non-coding RNA is filed under the name Scleropages formosus (Asian bonytongue). RNAcentral describes it as "lncRNA (ENSSFOG00015026030.1)". Lineage: Eukaryota; Metazoa; Chordata; Actinopteri; Osteoglossiformes; Osteoglossidae. The record is from RNAcentral.
UGUGUGUGUGUGUGUGUGUCUUUUACCCCUUGACUGUGGUGCGGGCUGCGCGCGCACAUCUCAUUCCGCUGGGGUUUAGUGACGUUUCUCGGGUCCGAACGGGUCGGAACGCGGUUUGGAGCGGGGCGGGGCGGGGCGGAGCGGGGAGCGCGCGGGUGGGCUGCACUGGGAUGCAGUGGCCUGGGCGCACGGACCCGCGGGUGGAAAGUGUUGCGAGUGGAGAGGACAGCAGGGGAGCGCGAGCCCCGUCCCGAAGGCGGAUUGGCGCGGGGCGGGCGCGCGAAACAACUGCGUGCAGUGCGCGGGGUGCAGGCUGGACUUUAGAAACGUUUUUAAGAUGGUCAGUGUGUCCGCCUCCAGUCCACCGACCGCCAUCCUGGGACCGACCGUCCGACAGUUCAUGAAUGUUCCAGUGAACGAAAGCACCAAGCACGAAUGAACGACAGAUCCAGGAUGAUGGUUUUGUGCCUCCUUAUCCACGUACUUCAUAACCCCACACAUGCGUGGUGCAGAUGACCUGAACAGAGACAGGGUACCUUCCCUUUUUCCGACCCCCUGAAGUGGGUCUGUUGGCAUGCCUACACCUACUUUUCCAACAGCAGCCCCCCAAACUCCACCUCCAGGGGGCUGGAAGGACAAGACUAGCAGAGUCUAGAGACACACAGCAGAAGUGCUGCUACCGCACUAGGGGUGCCCCCUCAACCCUGAGGGUUCGAGAUGGCUCCCUGCCAAUCUGUGAUGUCAUGCCAUUGCCAAUAGCUCCACCCACCCUUCCACCACACCAACAACGACCCCAAACCCUCCUGCCUAUGCAGGAUCUGGGCAGGAUGUUGUGGUUCCCCUCUUAUUGUUGAGCACAGGGUGGGGGUGGCAUCUGUAGAGUCUUGGGCAUUGAGGCAUUGUGGGAUCAGUGCCCAGCUACAAACUAGGAACUGCCAGCACCGGCGAUAUGGACCAUCAUAGCCAGAAAAUUAAAAAAUGAACAGAGAUGCUGACUGUUCUGCCGUAAAUAAUAAAACAAACACUAAAAUAACA